GGAGAGGUGGCCGAGUGGCCGAAGGCGGCGGUUUGCUAAACCGUUAUACGGUCUAAUAACCGUAUCCAGGGUUCAAAUCCCUGCCUCUCCG
This 91-nucleotide transfer RNA is filed under the name Deltaproteobacteria bacterium RIFCSPLOWO2_02_FULL_47_10. Its description in RNAcentral is "tRNA-Ser". It matches the Rfam family "tRNA". Rfam says of the family: Transfer RNA (tRNA) molecules are approximately 80 nucleotides in length. Their secondary structure includes four short double-helical elements and three loops (D, anti-codon, and T loops). Lineage: Bacteria; Deltaproteobacteria. The record is from RNAcentral.